CUCUGGGGUGUGGACAAAGCCCGAGGAAGGGAUCUGUCCGCCUAAGAGAUGUACACGGAGAGCCGUGGAGCUCAAACGGUGCUGUCAGAUACGAGGAUUGUCUCGAGAGACGUUGUGACGAGAAUGAGAGGGCUCUGGGGAGCGGAGGGAACGUGGGUGUGGAGACAAACAAAGGACAAAAAAUAAUUUGAAAAAAACGCGAAUGGAAUACAGGUAGCCAGGGUACAUUAAAAGCGAUGGUUAAUAAAGAAAUAAUGAAAUAAAUAAGAAAUAUUGAUGGCAAAUUACAGGGGAGAUGUAGAAAUAAAAUUUAAGAGGUCAGCAACGAGGAAAACUGAGACGAAAUAAUUUAAAAACAAAUGCGGUGACCGAGAUACAAGCCAAUUGUAAAAGCCCAGGGAUGAAGAGACAAAAGAAUUUAAAAAUACUGAUGGCAAACCGAAACACCGCUGUUGCAAAAUGGCCAAGCAAAAUAAAUUGCUUAGCGUAAUGUAAAAACUUAAGCGAUCGGUCAAACACCUAUGACGUGUGAUCUGUCACACGGAGAUCCAUCGGCUAGGUGAGCGUGAUAAACACCUCCCCGGAAACGCGUAUGUGGAGAGGCUCUGUGUCAAAUUGAGAGACUCCUAAUAGGAAGCCCUCAUCCUUCAACGUCAAGGCCCUCUGAAAAAGAACAAACUAGCUGAAGGCAGGCGGGAUGUAAGAACGUGCAGACGUAAACCAAAGAAAGGCCCAUUCUAAAACCUAGACAAAGUUUGAGAAAGGAUCCUCUCCAGAAACUGCUAUAGACCGCCGAGGACCUCCGUGGAAGCCCCUCAGGGACCUAAAUCGCACAGUAGAGAAUUUCGGUGACCCGGAUGGGAUGCUGCCUCGGAAACUUGAUAAACCCACGGGAUUGGAAAGACUCUGGCGUCACCUAAGUGCUUUUCGGGGAGAUCCUCCGAACCCCUGAUCUGGUGAGUUUGGAGUAAGAGCCCUGGUGGGUUUUUUUUUUGGUUGUUUUGGUUGGUUGGUUUGUUUGUGGUUUUUUUAAGGCAUUACCAAAGGUAACACAGACUGGAAAAGCCUGUCCGUAAGACUGGACGCAAGAAAUUCCCACAGGACUCUGCUAUUAAGGAAAACCCGGGAAGAAAGGCGAGAUUACACGUUAUUACGGUGACGUGCCCAGAGUGUCGCCUGGGGUCAGAAGAAAGCCUCGAUCGCACGUAAGGUGUGGGCUAGGGUAUCGCGGGGCAUUGGCCAAUGUCCAUGUCUAAUUAUUAUCUUGUAUAACAGCCUUGUUUAGUCUGUUAGGCGGUGUCAUAGUUUUGUGUACGUAAUUGUUUAUUUUGUUUAAUGUGGGUUCCGACCGGUCUAAGGGGUCUGAAAGCGGUCUUUUCAAAAAGUCACCUCUGGAAUAUAUAUUAAAAUAUCAGAGGGACGUGGGAAGCGAACCCCUUAUCUGGGAAACAAUUAAUUGACUAUUGUAAUCGUUGGUGGCCACUGUACGUUUUAGAAGAUCGAGAGAAGUGGCCAAAGAACGGACCUUACAGCUUAACACUAUAUACUGUCGAUGUUGUUUUGUUGGAGGGAAGGGAAACAGGAGGAUGUAGGUAGUGAGGGCCUGGCGGUCGGAAGAUAUCGCGCUGUACGGAAAGAUAGGGCCCCUUUUUCUGAUACCCCGAUAGCCAAUAGUAAUGUAGCAGUGAUGUAAGCAGACAGAAGUGACGUUGUAAACCCAAGCUAUAUAAGGCCUGUAUAUUCCUCAAUAAAACACCAUUUGCCAUCCACCA
Long non-coding RNA from Tyto alba (common barn owl), 1772 nucleotides. RefSeq lists it as uncharacterized. Lineage: Eukaryota; Metazoa; Chordata; Aves; Strigiformes; Tytonidae. The record is from RefSeq and is a predicted model, not a curated record. The transcript is spliced from 2 exons.